RNAcentral lists this ribosomal RNA (254 nucleotides) under uncultured bacterium. RNAcentral's name for it is "partial 16S ribosomal RNA". It matches the Rfam family "Bacterial small subunit ribosomal RNA", at positions 524 to 776 of the family's 1533-position model. The record is from RNAcentral.
UACAGAGGUCUCAAGCGUUGUUCGGAUUCAUUGGGCGUAAAGGGUGCGUAGGCGGUCAGCACAAGUCAGUUGUGAAAUCUCCGGGCUUAACUCGGAAAGGUCAACUGAUACUGUGCGACUAGAGUGCAGAAGGGGCAACUGGAAUUCUCGGUGUAGCGGUGAAAUGCGUAGAUAUCGAGAGGAACACCUGCGGCGAAGGCGGGUUGCUGGGCUGACACUGACGCUGAUGCGCGAAAGCCAGGGGAGCGAACGGG